Molecule: ribosomal RNA, 1434 nt
Filed under: uncultured organism
Description: SSU rRNA
Rfam family: Bacterial small subunit ribosomal RNA
Source: RNAcentral
CUACAGGCUUAACACAUGCAAGUCGAGGGGCAGCAUUUUAUUUUGCUUGCAAACUGAAGAUGGCGACCGGCGCACGGGUGAGUAACACGUAUCCAACCUGCCGAUAACUCCGGAAUAGCCUUUCGAAAGAAAGAUUAAUACCGGAUAGUAUACGAAUAUCGCAUGAUAUUUUUAUUAAAGAAUUUCGGUUAUCGAUGGGGAUGCGUUCCAUUAGUUUGUUGGCGGGGUAACGGCCCACCAAGACUACGAUGGAUAGGGGUUCUGAGAGGAAGGUCCCCCACAUUGGAACUGAGACACGGUCCAAACUCCUACGGGAGGCAGCAGUGAGGAAUAUUGGUCAAUGGGCGAGAGCCUGAACCAGCCAAGUAGCGUGAAGGAUGAAGGCUCUAUGGGUCGUAAACUUCUUUUAUAUGGGAAUAAAGUUUUCCACGUGUGGAAUUUUGUAUGUACCAUAUGAAUAAGGAUCGGCUAACUCCGUGCCAGCAGCCGCGGCAAUACGGAGGAUCCGAGCGUUAUCCGGAUUUAUUGGGUUUAAAGGGAGCGUAGGUGGAUUGUUAAGUCAGUUGUGAAAGUUUGCGGCUCAACCGUAAAAUUGCAGUUGAAACUGGGAGUCUUGAGUACAGUAGAGGUGGGCGGAAUUCGUGGUGUAGCGGUGAAAUGCUUAGAUAUCACGGAGAACUCCGAUUGCGAAGGCAGCUCACUAGACUGUCACUGACACUGAUGCUCGAAAGUGUGGGUAUCAAACAGGAUUAGAUACCCUGGUAGUCCACACAGUAAACGAUGAAUACUCGCUGUUUGCGAUAUACAGUAAGCGGCCAAGCGAAAGCAUUAAGUAUUCCACCUGGGGAGUACGCCGGCAACGGUGAAACUCAAAGGAAUUGACGGGGGCCCGCACAAGCGGAGGAACAUGUGGUUUAAUUCGAUGAUACGCGAGGAACCUUACCCGGGCUUAAAUUGCAACAGAAUAUAUUGGAAACAGUAUAGCCGUAAGGCUGUUGUGAAGGUGCUGCAUGGUUGUCGUCAGCUCGUGCCGUGAGGUGUCGGCUUAAGUGCCAUAACGAGCGCAACCCUUAUCUUUAGUUACUAACAGGUCAUGCUGAGGACUCUAGAGAGACUGCCGUCGUAAGAUGUGAGGAAGGUGGGGAUGACGUCAAAUCAGCACGGCCCUUACGUCCGGGGCUACACACGUGUUACAAUGGGGGGUACAGAAGGCGGCUACCUGGUGACAGGAUGCUAAUCCCAAAAACCUCUCUCAGUUCGGAUCGAAGUCUGCAACCCGACUUCGUGAAGCUGGAUUCGCUAGUAAUCGCGCAUCAGCCAUGGCGCGGUGAAUACGUUCCCGGGCCUUGUACACACCGCCCGUCAAGCCAUGAAAGCCGGGGGUACCUGAAGUACGUAACCACAAGGAGCGUCCUAGGGUAAAACUGGUAAUUG